This 230-nucleotide ribosomal RNA is filed under the name uncultured Alicycliphilus sp. Its description in RNAcentral is "partial 16S ribosomal RNA". It matches the Rfam family "Bacterial small subunit ribosomal RNA", at positions 550 to 774 of the family's 1533-position model. Lineage: Bacteria; Pseudomonadati; Pseudomonadota; Betaproteobacteria; Burkholderiales; Comamonadaceae. The record is from RNAcentral.
AGCUGAUCAUUGGGCAUAAAGCGUGCGCAGGCGGUUUUGUAAGACAGAGGUGAAAUCCCCGGGCUCAACCUGGGAACUGCCUUUGUGACUGCAAGGCUGGAGUGCGGCAGAGGGGGAUGGAAUUCCGCGUGUAGCAGUGAAAUGCGUAGAUAUGCGGAGGAACACCGAUGGCGAGGGCAAUCCCCUGGGCCUGCACUGACGCUCAUGCACGAAAGCGUGGGGAGCAAACA